Molecule: transfer RNA, 72 nt
Filed under: Hordeum vulgare
Lineage: Eukaryota; Viridiplantae; Streptophyta; Magnoliopsida; Poales; Poaceae
Description: tRNA-OTHER
Source: RNAcentral
CGAUUCGUAGCAGGGUGGUAAUGAGGCUGGUUUUGGCGCUGUAGAUCGUGGGUUCGAAUCCCCCCUAGGCAC